Small nuclear RNA from Sander lucioperca (pikeperch), 110 nucleotides. Its record names the gene U5. It matches the Rfam family "U5 spliceosomal RNA". Rfam says of the family: U5 RNA is a component of both types of known spliceosome. The precise function of this molecule is unknown, though it is known that the 5' loop is required for splice site selection and p220 binding, and that both the 3' stem-loop and the Sm site are important for Sm protein binding and cap methylation. The record is from Ensembl. Lineage: Eukaryota; Metazoa; Chordata; Actinopteri; Perciformes; Percidae.
ACUUUUGUUUCUCUUCAUAUCGUAAAAUCUUUGGCCUUUCACUAAAGAUCUCCGUGGAGAGGAACAGUGAGAGGAUUAUCUGUCUCUGUGAUGCUCUUAGUAAAGCGGGC